AUUUUAUACGAAAAUCAGCCCCUUUAAGAUGAGGUUCUCAGUAUUGUGUGGUGUAUUUCUACUUUUUGUAGCCUUUGUAGGACUAAGUGAGGCCCAACAAUCGCUACUCCCUACUCGUAAAAUUAUUGAGAAGAGACCUUUUGACCGACCUAACGAACCUUACCCAAAAAUGGUAUAUGGUGUAUGAGGACCUACCUCCAUCAAAAAAAUAUUAACCAAAUUUCGGAAGUAAAACCCGAGCAUUUUGAUGUUUGAAAUUAAUUUUUAUAAAAAAAUUGGAACAUUAAAAAGAAAUAAUUUUUUGUUCUUA
This 310-nucleotide small RNA is filed under the name Drosophila ananassae. RNAcentral's name for it is "GF27231". Lineage: Eukaryota; Metazoa; Arthropoda; Insecta; Diptera; Drosophilidae. The record is from RNAcentral.